UAGGAAGUAGGCACCACAAAGGUGGUGAUGAUUUCCAAACCUAUGUGAAUGAAAUGACUCAUGAUAAAUAAAAGUGGCAUAUGCUUAUUGCCUUAUUUGUGAGAACUGAGACUUAACUGGUGCAUAGAGUGCUGUUUGGUGUUACACAGAGAUUCAUCAAUAGGAGAGUGACUGCAUAAAUUAUGGCCCAUCAAUCCAUGGAAUACUACACAGCCAUGAAAACGAGUAAGUACUAGAAGACUGAUGCUGUAAGAUAUCUACAGUCCAUUGUCAAGUAAAAAAAAAAAAAACCCUUGUAGAGGCAUAAUUAGAAAUCUAUAAUAAACUGCAGACAACGAUUACCUCUAGGUAGUAGAAUUGUGUGUGUGUGUGUGUACGUAUGUGUUAUAUGAUACAUUUUUACAGGGUUUAAUUUUUAAAGACAAGCAUUUAUUUCCUGUAAUAAAACAUUUUAAAAUAGUUUUAGAAAGGAAUAUGUUGAGGGACUUCUUUCUUUUUUUGUUGUGAUAAAAUACAUAGAACAUAAUAUUUAUAAUUUUAACCAUUUGUAAGUGUACAAUUAGCACAAUUUAAAUAUGCUCACAAUGUUUUAUAACCGUCUCUGCUAUUUAUGACCCCCAAUUUUUAAUCAUUCCCAUCAAAAACGUCAUAUCUAUUAAACAAUCAUUUUCCCUUUCCCUCUCCCUGCAGCCCCUGGAUACCUCUAUUCUACUUUCUCUCUCUGGAUUUGAGCAACCAGGCAAAACCUGCCCCAGCCCUGUUGCAGCAGAGAUUUCAACCAGUCAGCUGUUGAAGAGAUGGCAGGCAAUGAGUCUGGCAUGUUCUAUGGGAAGAAAACAGAAACACCUGCAGCUUGUCUGACUGAGGCAGAAGAAACUGAUGGGAACAAUGUUCGGAGGGAAUGACUGAUGAAUGCUUGAUGGUGCUGUUUCAAGAGGAGACCUGGACGUCGGAAGUGAGUGGAGGGAAGGAGAGUGGGGCUGAGUUAUCUAAUAUGCUAGGGUCCAAGGAGGCAGACUAACUUGCUGAGGGCUAGCACUGUGGAGCAGAGCUA
RNAcentral lists this long non-coding RNA (1054 nucleotides) under Piliocolobus tephrosceles (Ugandan red Colobus). RNAcentral's name for it is "lncRNA (ENSPTEG00000031512.1)". Lineage: Eukaryota; Metazoa; Chordata; Mammalia; Primates; Cercopithecidae. The record is from RNAcentral.